Molecule: ribosomal RNA, 489 nt
Filed under: uncultured bacterium
Lineage: Bacteria
Description: partial 16S ribosomal RNA
Rfam family: Bacterial small subunit ribosomal RNA
Source: RNAcentral
GACGAACGCUGGCGGCGUGCUUAACACAUGCAAGUCGAACGGUAAGGCCUUGCUCUUGUAGGGUGCUCGAGUGUCGCACAGGGGUGUGUCACGUGAGUAUCCUCCCCUUGACUUUGGGAUAACUUCAUUAAACUGGGUCUCUUACCCCAUAUAAGCUCCUGCUUCAUGUUGCGUUUUGUAAAGUUUCGGCGUUUCGUCAUUGACUCGCGGUGUAUCAGCUUGUUGGUGGGGUGGUGGCUUACCAAGGCAUUAACGCAUCGCUGACUUGACAGGGUGACAGGCCACACUGGGACUGAGACACGGCCCAGACUGCUACGGGAGGCAGCAGUAGGGAAUCUUCGGAAAUGGACGGAAGUCUGACCGAGCAACGCCGCGUGAGUGAAGAAGGUUUUCGGAUAGUAAAGCGCUGUUGUAAGAGAAGAACGAGUGUGAGAGUGGAAAGUUCACAAUGUGACGGUAUCUUACCAGAAAGGGACGGCUAACUACGUG